GCAUCGUCUCCCUCGCCCUAGAAUGGGGGUUGGACAAGAUGACCCCGUGGGAGCAUCAGCCCAGGAUUCUCACUCAGGUUCUAAGAUGAAAGGAGCUCAUCCCCUCCUCCCCACCCAGCUUUGAGCCUGAGCCCCUUGGCCCAAGUGACCAGAGUGGAGGGUGGACUUGGCCGGGGGCAUACGGGUCAGAAAUCAGCCUCAGUUGUCCCCGGAUAGGUGGCCUGACCCAAAGGGGCUCCUUCCACUGCCUCACACCACGGGCAGCUAUGUCAUUCAUGACCACUAGGACACAGGCAAGCGUCCAGAGCUUGUCCACAUGGGGCGAGGGUGAUGUCAGCCCCGCCGUGCCCAGCGGCUGCAGGGCCACGCUGCUAGGCUGGACGAUCUGCUGGUGUGGUGCUGCCUGCCCAGAGGAAGGGAUGCCUUUUCUGCACACAAGUGCGCUGCCUGCUUGCCCAGCCUUACCCCCAUGGGUGCUGAGCCUUGAGGGGAGGGGCGCUUUAUCCUAAUUCACACAAAGGUGUUUAGGUACAGGCCUUUCCGGAGCAGGCCACGGGCGGGCAGCCCAAUUGGGCAGGAGGAGAUGCCCAGCCACCCCUCUCCACAGUGGGCUGCCUUGCCCCCUCUGCCCCUGGCUCCGGAGCCACCCCAGAGCAAUGGAAAACAUUUCAACAUCUCCUCCCCAACAAGUCAUUAUAAUAAAAAACAUACUGGUUCCCCAAUCCCUUGCCCACAAAUCCUAACUCCCAAAAGUUCUGAAAGCUCAAAGUGUUUUUUGUAACGUAUUUGGCAACCACACCUGGCCUGAUCAAACAUCAGGCUGCCUAUGGUCUUCAUGUUUCCCACUUUGGGUGAGUAUUCAUAUUAUUGAGAAGUACUAAUGUGUUUGAUCCACACCUCACUGGGUUGUAUAUGAUAUGGGAAUGUGCAUAGUAUUUUAUUACCUUUCUAAAAACACAAAGUCAUAUAAACUCUGAAAGACAAAUGGCCAGUUUUCAGAUAAGAAAUUCUAGAUCUGUAGUAACCAGCACUCAGUAUAGGCCUUGUAAUGUCCCAGACACCGUGCUUAAGCACUUCACAAGUAUUGACUCGUGUCAUCCAGCAAGUCAACGUAUUUCCAUUUUAUAGAUGCAAUGGAAGUCUGGGAGGUUCAGGAACCUUGCCAAAGUCACAUAGUUGACUAAGGGGUGGGGCCAGGGUUUGAAUCCUGCUCUGAGCCCUACACUGUAUAGGUGGGGAGACUGAGGCCCAGAGGCGAAAGGAGGCAGCUCAGGGUCCGUCAGUGAGUCCACAGGGAGCUGAGCCUGGGUCCUGGAGUCCCCCAGCAACUUCCCAGGAGCUCUCAGCUCAGGCUGAGUUUGUCCAGUCCAUCGGGAGGAAUUUAAAAAUAGGAUAAGUUCCCGUGGAAAGUUUUCAGAUUUCACUGGAUUGAUACCAGCUGACCCUGUGCACACAGCCCCACUCCCCAGCAGGCGAGGGGCUGGGCUGUGCGCUGAGGUCCCCAUGCCUGUUCCCAGCCUGCCCCUAGGGAGGGAAACUGCCUUGGGGACUCAGAGAGGCCAGUGACCAGGACAAGGGACAGGAUGGGCUCCAGCUGACGGGAAGGGAUGGGAGACCCCCUUCUCUGCUGGGAGAGAAGUGUCCCCAACACUCACUGGCUCCAUCUGUCCUCCAGUUUCUGAAGACAGGCAGAGGACUCAGAGCAUUCCCCCAUGCCUGCCUGUUCCGGUAGUUUCUGUUCUUACACUGACCUGUUCUCCCGCAACUUCACUCCUCUGUUUGUCCUUUCGUGGUCCUACAGCGAACGUACAGAACCUCCCCGAUGAGGAAGGCUGGCUGCGUGAAACACUAGGGCACAAUCCUGCCCUUGGAAAGCUGCAGUCACACAGAACAGGCACCGCAUCAGGGCAGGGGGUUUGUACUGGGGACCCAGGAGCAACCCUGGGCUGGUCCGGGAGGGGAGGAGCAGGAGGGAGGAGGACCAAGGGCCCUUCGGGGCCGGGGACAGGCUCAUUCCCCCUGGCAGGCUGAUGCGCAGAGAGGGAUCGUGGUGAGGAAGCAGGUGGAGUGGGCACGUGCCCUGCGAAAGGGCCUCCCGGCUCCACUGAGCUGGUCCUGAGGAUGCUGGGUGGGCAGGAGAGGAUUUCAUGUCUUCCUGGAUCCAGGCUGGUCCAGGAAGACUCCACGCCUGCCAGAGGCCACAUGGAAGUUACCUGAGCAAUUUCUACAUCAGUCUUCUCUGGGUCAGGUCCUGCUCUUGUCACCUGUGUAGACCGGCCCCUGGCGCAGAGCCGAGCACUUUGGUAAGAGGUGGCUGAGCCAAGCUGCCCUAGGUGCUGCCACAAUCUCCCCCAUCCUAAAAGUCCGUCAGCUGCUCCAAGAAAGAUGAGACCCUCAGGGAAAUCUGAGCCUGAACCGGACUCAGAUCUUACAUGAUACUAAGAAAUUAUUAUUAACUUUAUCAACAAGUAUGACUCUGUGUUGUGGUUAUAUAAAACCAGCAAACUCAAUCUAUUGGAGAGAAAAACUUAAGUAUUUAUGCGUAAAAGAUAUAUGACGUAUGACGUCUGUGAUUAUGUUAACGCGCACACACACACACACACACACACAGGGCCCUCCUGCCCCCUCAGUCCUGGUACUGCCUGCUCUGCCCCGGCCCAUCCCAGGCCUGCAUUUGGCAGGAAGGGACAGUUAGCCUAGUCAGGCCAACAAGAGGACACUCGGCCUGCCUGUGGGCUUGGUGCCUUGGAGGCUGCUGAGGUGAGCGGCCAGGCCCCAGCCCCGGCGCCCACAGUGAAGCAGAGAGUGGUGCUCAGUGGCAGGGCCCCAUGGUUGCCAUGCUCUCUGAGAGCAGAUCUUGAGCAGUGGUCCUGGCUGGAUACAGAGCCCUGGGUUGAUGGCUUCCAGAACAGUCCACGGGCUGGUCACUGGUGCCGGCCAUUGCCAUCUGGCUGCUGGGGAGGUCUCAGGUUGUCUGAGGGCCUACUGAGGCACAUCUCUGGCCUCUGUGUCACCCGGGCUUGGCCUGUGAACUGGCCCAGAGUGUGCCUCACUUGGCCCAUUGUGGGGACGGCAGCGAUAACCUGCACACCUUGCUCCUCCCAGCUUCCAGAGCCAGGGGCUACUGCUGGGCAGCCGGACAGCGUGGCAAUGUGGAGAAAUACUACCCACUGCUGACAGCAGCCCUGGUUAAUUAUCACAGCAGGAGGGAAAGCAAGAGGCUGAAUGGAGAACACAGCUUUUCCGAGCCUCCUGAGCUGCCACACACAGCCUGGGCAGGCCCCCCAGGGCCACAAAGCCCCAGCCGCUUGACUUUCCCAGGCCCCUCCCACCGGAGCAGGGCCCAGGGGGCAGCUCCGCAGUCACGCAGAGUCAGCCUGGGAGGCCGCCUGGAGCCCGGGCCUCCUGCCAGGAGGGUGAGCCAGGGGCAGCUGGGCUCGGGAGCCCUCCUCUGAGCCUUUGCUCGGGGCUCGCUGCCAUCGUCCCCACUUCCUAGUCACCCUCAGGCCUGGCAGUCCAGCUCAGGGUCCUGCCUGCUUCCACUCUGGGGCCCUAAAGAGCCAUUUAGCGGAGGCCCAACUUCUGACGAUGGAGUAGCAAAGGGCAGGCUGAUGAGAGAAGUUGGAGAGGCCAGGGGCAGAGAGGCGCUGCCAGGGGCUCCGGCUGUGAAAUGAACUCCAGGAGUGCAGGGAAGCUUUCCCCACCCACGCCAGGAGUGGCAGGCCGAGUGGGCAGGCAGGCAGCUGUGACCCCCUAGCAGUGACUCUUGAUGACCAGCAUUGCCUUUGGGGAGAGUUUCCAGGGGGUCUGGAGGCUCUGCAGCUGGGCCAGUCUGCAGAAUGGUCACACCUGCUCCAAAUGAGCUCCAGGAGCCCAGGCCAAGGGCAGAGCCGGCGCUGCUGGUUCCCUCCCAGGCUCUGGGAGACCACCCACAUGGGCUCUAUCAGCGCAGAUUGUUCUCCGGCUCUCUGGCUCUGCACAUCAAACCCAACAAUCUCCAAGUUGCUCUGGCCGUCUUUUCUGGAACUGCCUAGUCCCAACAGCUGGCCUGAGAAGACACUGGACCACAGGGAGGGACGCAGGAGGUUAAGCAGAGCAGAGUAAGGUGGCACAGGGCUGAGAGGCUCCUGCCGGGCUAGCCUUUGACCUUGAGGACACCACUUGCUGAGAGGAGCCCCAGCCUGAACUCCAGUGGGGACUGUCACCUAGCACUUGCUCUGCCCUUGAUUUCUUUCCCAAACCACCCCCUUCCCAGGUUCUGGGCUCGGUCCCAGGGGAACUGUCUGCUGCUGCUCACACAUGUUCCAUGAACCUUGGCUCAUGCUGGCCUCCACAUGGGAGUCCCUUCACGGGCCCAGUCCCCCUGCAGCCGCUCCUCUGCACAUCUUUCUGGAAUGUGGGUCCUUCUCCCUCGGGGCUGCAUUGUUGGCGUGGUCUGGUCAGGACACAGGCCUACAGUCUGACUGUCCCAGAUUCAAAUCCCAGCUCUGCCACUUCCCACCUGGGUGACCUUGGUCAAGAGACAGAAGCUUAGUUGCCUCAUCUAUAAAAUGGGAAUCAUGGCCACUUGACAGGUUGUUUUUUUAACAGGGAUUAAAUGAGACAUGUGUGACAUGUUUUGUGUGGGCCUUGGUUCACAGUAACGCUGGUAAAUACAGUGAUUGUGGCCACAUUGUGGUGGUGGUGGCCAUUGCUCCUGUCAUUAUCCCUGCAAAGAGUGCCGGUUCCCUGAGGACAGGAACCCUGGCUUUUUGUCUCUGUAUUCCCUCCCUGCUCGCCCAACCCUGCAGGGUGAGUGUGACUGGCUCAGGGUGGAGGCCAGUUCAAAUCUGGAUCAAGUGGAAGGCAGUGGGGUCCCCUGGGGAAGGCAGGAAGGCCAUGGCGUUUCCCAGCAGUGCGUGGAUAGAACCCAGUGGCUGUGUGUUGCUCUGAGCUGCAACCCCAGCUGCAGCCUGAUGGCCAAGCUCCCUCUGCAGAGCCCGGGCUCAGUCAGGGCCCCUCCUGCCGGGAGUGCUGCUGCCCUCAGGGUGGAAAUGGACAUGACCUGUGGGUCCUGGACACCUUGCUUCUCUGAGGAGAGGUGGCACCCUGGCUCCUUCCUAUGCAACAAACAUUCCUCGACACCAACUGCAUGCCAAGCCUAUUGCUAACUGGGGCCUGAGGCAAGUCCCAUACCUUUCUGAGUCUUGAGUCUGUCAUCUAUCAACUAAGCACUCUAUAAAUUCCUGGCUUCAAAGAGUUUUUGGAACAUUAAAUGAGAUAAUAAAGCACAGAGCCUGGGAUGGGGGGAAGGGUAGUUUCAGCAGACACGAGCUUCCCCAUCCCCACCCACCAGCCCUGGUAGCCCCCGUCCUCAACUGGUUGGUAGCAAAGGAUCCUGGGGAGAGCCGUGCCCUGGUCUGAGGAAGGGGAGGUCCUUCCAAGUGCAGGCUGCUGUCUUCCUGCCUUUGUGGACAGUGGCUCAGGUCACCUUGGUCCUGUGCUUUGUCACCUGGGGCCCAGGAGGUCCAUCCCUGGGGAGGAGGGGGACACCUGCCCUUCCCCCCUCACCUCAGAGGCCCAGCCCCUGACCAGUGUCUGAUUCCUAUGUUUAGAAGGCCCUGUCCAAGAUUAUGCUGACCAAAGGCUGGCUAGAGGUACUAGAAAACCCCCUUCAGCCCCCAGAUCACCUUGGCCUUGGGCCAAGCCUGGGAUACCUUCCCUGGCCGGUCCACCACCCAGCUGCCCUCUGUGAACCUUCAAACGACCAGUUGGUGCAGGCACCAUUUCCCCCAGGACCAGCUGCAUGUUUGAGCAGUAGUCUCUUCUGGUUUAUCUGGAGGAAGGAAGAUGACGUCACGAGGUAAACCGCACAGCCUGAAACCACGAGGCCGGGUACCCCGGUGAUACUCGCUUUUCAGCGAGUCACUCGUGCACAGAGGGACACAUUGCCUGGGCCUUUCUGGUCAGAGAGUGGCUGGGAAGACAGAGGGAGAUUUUUAAACACAGAACCACAAGAAAAGAGAGGGCCCCAGAGAAGAUGAACGUCAGAGGCCAGGCAGGGUGGCUUCCAGGUGCUGUGGGACAGUCAAGUGGACUUUGUGGCCACUCAUGAGGUGCUUGGUACCUGAGGUUCUGAUGACUGUAUUUACCAUGGUAGGCAUAAUGGGUGAUAAUAAUAUUGAUGAUAGGUACCACUUAUGUGUGCACAUUACCCAGUUAGCUCCUCAACAGCAACCCCCUGAGAUCAGAACCCAAGAGGCUGGCAUGAUCCUGUGGACAUAGAGGGGAGAUGAGGCUGGUGGACCUCUGCUCUGUGCUCUCAACCUUGAAACUACAAAGCUGACUUGCCAGCAGGCUGGGUGUCUGCCUGCCCUGAGGCCUGGAGCUAAGCCCUAACCCCCAGCUGCUAACUGUGACCUGGAGGAAGCCCCUUACCCUCUACAUGCCUCUGUUUCUUCCUCUGCCCAGUGUCCUGCCUUGCAGCUAAGAGAUUUCCUAAGAUGAACCCUAUCCUUCAGUCUCAUUUCAUUACUUUGUCUAUGCUCUGAGCAGGUUUUUCUGGGGAAAUUGGCUCUAAAGAGUAGGCUGGGGCACUGGUCCUGGUGGGCUAGUGGGAGGGGCUGGAGGGGGACGCCCUUCGUGUGGACAGCUUGAAUAGGAAGAGCUGUGUGGGGAGAUCCAGAGAAGCCUCACUUUCUCAGGAAACCAGAGCUGCAUGAGUUGGGGGUGGCAGGUGCCUAAGGGAAGUUCCCUGUAUGUCUGAGUGUGUAUGGGUGAGAGUGUAAGGGCAGGCGUGAUGCCCACCAGGGUAGGUAGUGUCCCUGAUCCUGCAGCCAAGACGAUCCAUGCACAGGUGCUGCCCAGACCCCAGGCCCUCCACCUCAGGGCGGGCCACAGCUCUGGCUCUGACAUCCCCUGAGGGCCUACAGGGACUGCUGUCUCAGACAGGGGACCGACAAGAGGACGCAACACAGGGAGUUGGCUCAGCUCCUCUUCAGGGGCCUCCUGAUGCCUGGCGCUCCUCCACUGGAGUCACAGCUGCCUGGGCUGAGGCCCAUCCUCAUCAGUUCUUUUCCUGAUAACGCAGGUACCCCGUGGGAGAGGCAGCACCUCGCGUCAGUGCAAGCGGAUAUAGAGACUUCCAGCACGAGCCUCUCAUUAUAAGAUGAGAAAACUGAGACCCUACUGGGAACAAGAUCUGCCCACUAUCACAUAUUAGCUGACAGACAUGCAGGAGCAGGAACCCAGGUAGCCUCUCGCACGUGGGGGGUUUUCCCUCCUCUGCUGCUGCUGUUAUCCUAAUAUGAAUUACCUACCAGAUCCUUUCCAAGAGGGUGAGCUGAAGGUUGAGGAGCACUGCUGUGUGGGUGCAGAGCUGUGGGAGGGCCGCCGGGGGCCAGUGCCAGGGGAGGCCCUAGAGACGUCGCCUCUUUUGCCACUUUCCAGGGCCAACUCAGCACCUUAUGUGGGAGGAUUAGUCAUAAGCAACUGUUUGACCCCAAAAGUUGUAGUUCACUGGGUUGUUCACAGUGAUGCUUUUCUGAGUCAUGGCCCAGGAUGACACAAAGCUUUGAAGGACCAGCUGGAGGUCCCGUGGCCCCUGCAGCUGCUCUGGGACUCUCUUGCCUGGAAGCCUCUUGCCUAAUGGCUGGCACUUUGAGGAAAGAGCUCAGUGGGCAGGGGGCAGGGCGGGCUGAGAGGCAGGCCACUGCGGUCCAGACCUGCACAUGCCCUGGAGGUUCUCAGGGUCAGUUCUUCCCUGGGUCAGUUUCCUUGUUCAUAAAAUGGAAGGUCAGACCACAUGGUCUCUGAGUUUCUUCGAAGCUGGCUUCUGCCCUCCAGGGUGGUUCUGGCUGGGCCAUACCACACUCCUGGCCACAAGAACCGCUAGAGCUUGGAGCCGCUCCACUGACUUCUCGUGCCCUCCAGGUCUCCCCGGGCCUGGCUCCCCAGCCCUCAGAGUCACCUUCUGCUUUGUGCUCUAUCAGAAGGGAGGGCCGCAGCAUGCCCAAGCUGGAAGGCCUCCCAAAUCCACAGCCGAGCCCACUGAUGGGUCCCAAAUGAGCGGAGGGAGGUCACGAGAAGUCACCCCCACCUCAUCAGCAGGCCCGGAGGAGCCCGUCGGGAGGCCCCCAGGUGAGGCCUGCUCAGCCCCACCUCCACCUAAUCCACUGCUCAGUGCCAUCACCUGUCACCCCUCUUCCUCCUCGGUCCCAGGCCUUUUCACUCACACUUUCUCUGAGGCUGCAGAGCCCAGGAAGAAGGCGGCUGCUAGCCAAGCGCCUGCGCAGCCUAGGGUGAGUCUUUGCUCCCACUGGGCCUUUGUCCCUGGGCUGCAAGAUGGGGCGCUGUGACACCUUCCCGCAGGCUUGGUGCGAGGAGUCAGUACAUAGGUACCCGCGUAGUGAGUGCGCGGUAAAUGCUCCCUCCCUCCCUCCUUCCCUCCUUCCUUCCCUCCCUCUUUCCCUCCCUCUUUCCCUCCCUCCUUCCCUCCCUCCUUCCCUCCCUCCUUCCUUCCCUCCUUCCCUUCUUCCUUCCUCCCUUCCUCCAAAAUUUGAAAUGACUCACCGUGGAAAACACAGAUACAAUAGGCCUUUAAAGUAAGGUUUCUUUAAACAACAAGCCUGGGAUUGAAAAGGCGAGAGCUGUCCCAGAAUGUUGGGCCGAGCAGGCUGUUAUCUGACGUAAGUUCCGGGCACUCUUGGCCAAAAGGUAAUGCUGUUGGUAUCAAGCUCUCCUUUUUUGAUAAGAGGAAACAUAUCACUUCUCAGGAGAAUAGAAGAAUUUGCUAAGUCAACCUUUAUAAAUGACAUUAAGCUCUGCAACUGGGAGAAACCCCCCUUGCCCCCCCUCCCCUGUUUGAGCCCCUGAGAACCUUGGGGGUGCAUCCUUCUCCAUCCCACUGCCCACCUCUAGGACCUGAGGAGGCCUGGGGACCGGGAACCGGAGCUGCUGCUCCAAAGCAAAGCCCUCAGCGGUCCUGCAGAGCUGGAGCUGGCAGCUCCUGGGGAAAAGCCAAGGGACCGAGACGUGAAGAGCCUUUCCUCUGAUGCGGAGUGAGCCCCCUCCCAGGGGUUCCGUCCCAGCAGCCCAAGUAAGCACCCCCGGGAGGGGGCCUGGGAGUGCUCACUGAGAAAUCCCACAGCUGCCCACACACCUCCCCUUCUCUCAAAUGCCAGAAGGAUUCCUCCGGCAGGCAAGGGGAAAGGUGAGAAAGGCGCUCUGUACUGAGUCACUGGAAAGGUUAUGGGACCCAGUGGGAAAAGGCCUCAUUCCAUCUCCUCCAGGACUUCUGAAGGCAGGCAUGGUCCAGGUGUGGCCAGGGACCAUCUCCACAGACUUAGGUAGCACCAGAAAAGGGGCCUUAUGCCUCCCACUCUCCCGUCUCUCCCUCCUCUUCCCCCACCACAGCCCGUGCACACGGUCUCCACAAGCGUGCUGCCAGCUGGCUCAGGGAGUGAUGGGAAUCUUUUUCCUGUUCUGUGAGGUUCUGCCUCACUUGCGAAAGAGCCCCCAACUGCAUCCACCUUUUAGCUCGGGGCUCCACCUGAGCGCCUGCCUUAGUCUCCUUCCUAAUCGAGCUCCCAGGGUGCUUUCCCACAGCCAGUGGGCUUGUCCCUAGCUGGGCCCUCUUCGCAGGGAGGACUCCCCCUGCUUGCGUUCCUCACUGCAGAGAGCAGGCAGAGGAGCCCACGGCGAAGUGCGCGGUCCCUCCUGGGGCCACUGUGCAGACGCCCGGGGCUGCAGCUGCCCCCGAGCACUCCGUCUCUGUUCAUCUGAGCCAGCAGGAGGAAGCAGAGAAGGUGGCCUGGCAGCCGGCCUGGCAGCCGGCCUGGCAGCCUUCCCUGCUGGCUGUGGAAAUGUCUUUGGUGGCAGGAGGUAACCAUCCAGGACAUGAUGAUUCGCCCACAUCGAGGUCUACCCGUACAUUGGUCAUGAGAACAGUUUGCCCAGAGGGGUUUUUGAGGGCUGAUGGUAGACGUGUGAGGGAAGUCCCAGCCGGUCCUUGGACCCAUCAUAUAAAGCUGGUAUCAUGAGCGGUAAAGGAGGGGAGUAAGGGGUUGGGUUGGGCCAGCUUUGGAUUUGGACUUGGGGCUAGUUAGGUGGGCAGUGGGUGGACUUUCCAGGCCCUUUUCUCCAGCCCCACUCAGUGCUUAUCGCCUCAUACCUGGACCUUGCCAAUACCUUCCUCAGGGGCCUCCCUGCCCAAGCCUCGCCCUCUAAUUGAUCCCCCGACCUUUGCAGCACUGCUUCCUGAAGGACCCUUAGACUGUGCUCUUUGAGCUGAUCAAGGGUCACCUCUCCCUGGCUCAUAAAUCUUCAGCGGCGCCCUAUUACCUGUGGGAACUGAAGACUCCAGGCCUCGCAGUGGCCUCAGUCACCCUGCUCCCCAGUCCCUAAGAGAACCCCCUGUCUCAACCAAAGACCUUGGGCUCUUCUGGUGCUGGGCCCCACCUUCCCCUGGAAUCCUCCUUUCCCCCUCCUCAAGGCACAGCCCAAGUCCCACCUCUCCAGGAGGCUUGGCCUGACUACCCUAUCACAGUGGAGAAUGGUUGUGUCCGGAAGCAGGACCCUCUUCUUCCUGCUCAGCCUUCCUUGUGUGCACUGCAAACCGCUGCUUAAGACACCCUCCUCCAGGCCCUCUUCACUCUUGGCAUUCAUUUAUUGGGGAAAGAGCCCAGUUUUGGAGCAAGACAGGCCUGGGUUAAAGUCCCGGCUCAGCUCCAGUCCCAUUAACUAGUUGCAAAUCACUUAACCUUUCUGAGCUUCCAUCUUCCACUCAAUAAAUGGGACAAGGCCUGCCCUGCAGGACCCUUGAGAGUACAGGAUGCUGAAUAGCAUCUGUUAUUUUGGCCUUCCCAGUGUCCAUUCCUCUUUCUUUUGAUGAUAUCAUCUGGGUUUGCUGGUGAGUAUGGGAGACCAGGUAGGGCUGACCUUACUUUCUGUUACUAGUGUGAGUGUAUGACCCAGGCCUGGCCAUUGAGAACAUUCCCUUGCCCUGGCCACAGACAUAGGUGCCCAGAGAUAGACAUGAGACUCAAAUCAGGCUAGUGGGAAUUACACUUGGGACUUGGGGUUACUAAGACUUUCUUUCCAUGUUAAGUUAAUUGGCUGAGAGUACUGCGUUCCCCCAAAAGAUAUGUUCAAGCUCUAACUCCCAUUGAAUGUAAUCUCAUUUGGAAAUACGGUCUUUGGAGUUGUAAUCAAGUGAAGAGAAAGCCACACUGAAUCAGGGUGGACCCUGAUCCAGCGACUAGCAUUCUUGUACAAAGAGGAAAAUUGGACAUGGAGACACGCUGGGGCAAGGCCAUAUGGCAACAGAGGCAGACAGGAGUGAUGUAUCUGCAGGACAAGGAACCCAGGAUUGCCAGGAGCUGCCAGAAGCUAGGAGAGAGGCGUGGGACCCAGAGCCUCCGGAGGUGAGCAGCCCUGCUGAGGCUGAGAUUUCAGACUGCUGGCUUCCGCAGCUAUAAGAGAAUAGCCUUGUGUGUGCAGCCACCCAAGUCUGUGGCGAUUUGUUAGGGCAGCUGCAGGAAACGUCUGUAGCCACCCGAUGGAGAGAGUGCCUGAGGCCAGCACUGUGGAAAUCAGGGCUGACUCCCCGGAUUCCUGGCACCAUGACAACGCCUGGAUCCAGCAGUGGCUGAAGCAAGAGGUCUACUGGACUUCUCAGUCACAUCAGCCAAUAUACUCUGUAUUUUACUAA
This is a non-coding RNA of Manis javanica (Malayan pangolin), 11689 nucleotides long. The record is from RefSeq and is a predicted model, not a curated record. Lineage: Eukaryota; Metazoa; Chordata; Mammalia; Pholidota; Manidae.